CUACGGGCGGCAGCAGUAAGGAAUAUUGCGCAAUGGAGGCAACUCUGACGCAGCCAUGCCGCGCGCAGGAAGAAGGCCUUAUGGGUCGUAAACUGCUUUUAUUUAGGAAUAAACCCCCGAACGUGUUCGGGGCUGAAGGUACUAAACGAAUAAGCACCGGCUAACUCCGUGCCAGCAGCCGCGGUAAUACGGAGGGUGCAAGCGUUAUCCGGAUUUAUUGGGUUUAAAGGGUGCGCAGGCGGGCUAUUAAGUCAGUGGUGAAAUCCCGGGGCUCAACUCCGGAACUGCCAUUGAUACUGAUAGUCUUGAGUUUGGUUGAAGUGGGCGGAAUGUAGCAUGUAGCGGUGAAAUGCAUAGAUAUGCUACAGAACACCAAUCGCGAAGGCAGCUCACUAAGCCAAAACUGACGCUCAUGCACGAAAGCGUGGGGAUCAAACAGGAUUAGAUACCCUUGUAGUC
This 459-nucleotide ribosomal RNA is filed under the name uncultured bacterium. RNAcentral describes it as "partial 16S ribosomal RNA". It matches the Rfam family "Bacterial small subunit ribosomal RNA", at positions 339 to 795 of the family's 1533-position model. The record is from RNAcentral.